This 1015-nucleotide long non-coding RNA is filed under the name Mustela putorius furo (domestic ferret). Its description in RNAcentral is "lncRNA (ENSMPUG00000026602.1)". Lineage: Eukaryota; Metazoa; Chordata; Mammalia; Carnivora; Mustelidae. The record is from RNAcentral.
AUGUCCAGUUGGCCUGCGAUAAGCCUCUUGGUGGCACAUCAGACCCACAGAAGACUGUGGACAGGUGGUUCUCGUUCUAUCCCUGCAUAUGGUGCUAUUCUAUUUGUCUGGGAUACUCUUAUCCUAUUUCCGCCACAUUCAUAUGUUUCUUUCAAGAUCUUGCUCAUAUCCAAAAGCCUUCUCCAACCUCAAGAUUCGCGUCCAAUAUAUCAUGUGGAUUUUGUUGGGCUGAGCAGGAAAAAACUUCGUUUUCCACCACAGUCAACAUUUUGGGGGGCAUCCAGAUGGCUUACAGUGACUGCUUACUCCAUGUAAUUGCUCUCCUUCCCACUGGGGAAGGGUCCUCCCGGACCUGUUUAUCUAUAUGACGCCACCUCACAUGCAUAGAUGCUUGGGUCAGAGAGGACAUCAGAUCUAGGUUGGAAAAAAAUCAAACCUCUCCUCUGGAGAAUUUGGAAUUGGGAUGAAGAGCCAGCCAGCCAGCCAGGCCAGGGUGGUCUUGAUCCAAGAGGGCAUAAACUUGGGAGCCUAAGAGGGGUCAUGUAUUCCCUGCAUGGACACAAAGAAUUGCAAGAAAAAGACAGCUGAUAGAGAGAAUGAGAAUAAAGCAGCCAUGUGAAAGAAGUGGAGUUGGAGUAGUUCCCAGGGUUAUGACCUUGUUUCUCUUCGGGGUUCCAGUCUCUUCACUGGCCCAGGUGACCUUGAGUCCUAUGACAUACCCCAGAGGCUUUCCAUGGAUUGCUUUGGUGGCUUCACUUAGCUUAAAGGAAUUCCUAAGACUUGCAUCCCAAAGCACACCACUUAAGACGUCCUUAGGGACCUAAACUCCAUGAGGACUGUGGCUGGGAUGUUCACUGAACAGCCCUAGGCUGGAGCCAUUCUUGGCUCAACUGCAUGGAGUUUUGUUGAACGGCCCUUGCUGAUGAUACAGCUUUUCUGUCUAAGAGAUAGAGAGAACACUACCUGAUCCUCCUCCAAACCAUCAUCUGCUCCCGGAAAUUAAAAGAAUUGAAAC